GAUCCAUGAUUCGGAACCAUAUAAGAGAACAGACAACACUAUGGCCCUGCGCAAGGAUGACACGCAAAUUCAUGAAGCGUUCCAUACUUUU
This 91-nucleotide small nuclear RNA is filed under the name Lepidothrix coronata (blue-crowned manakin). The record is from RNAcentral. Lineage: Eukaryota; Metazoa; Chordata; Aves; Passeriformes; Pipridae.